Molecule: ribosomal RNA, 253 nt
Filed under: uncultured bacterium
Lineage: Bacteria
Description: partial 16S ribosomal RNA
Rfam family: Bacterial small subunit ribosomal RNA
Source: RNAcentral
UACGUAGGGGGCAAGCGUUGUCCGGAAUCAUUGGGCGUAAAGCGCACGUAGGCGGUCAUGUAAGUCAGGAGUGAAAGCCCUCGGCUUAACCGGGGAAGUGCUUUUGAAACUGCAUGACUUGAAUACUGGAGAGGAUCGCGGAAUUCCCGGUGUAGAGGUGAAAUUCGUAGAUAUCGGGAGGAACACCAGUGGCGAAGGCGGCGAUCUGGACAGAUAUUGACGCUGAGGUGCGAAAGCGUGGGGAGCAAACAGG